UAGAGUUUGAUGGUUUUUGCGGCCCGGGUACAUGGAAUCAUCUCUAACCUAAUUAAUAGCUAUCUCGAGUGAUGCUUCUCAUGUCGUCAACGACCUAUCUUGAUGCGGCUGUGUCUCUUUCUCAGCCACCGCGCCUCCGACUACUCCGACUGUGUCUCCUCCUUUGUGAGCGGCUCCGUAUCUCCUCCUCUGCCUCAUUAUCCUAUGCGACUCCAUAUUUAUUUUCCUUCUCUUUCUGUCGCCAACAAUGGUGGUUAAGCCUCUUGGAUCUGCUCUGAGGUCUUCUGGGGUUUGGACAAAAAGCUUGCAAAGAGAGAGCAUUUCCCUUCUGUUAAUUGUUUGAUUUCCUACUCAAAGUAUUCAACGGUAUGCUUACACAUCACCGUCCUUCUCCAGACCCGUCUUGGUAUACUAUCUCUAAGUUCUUGGUAUAUAUAUUUCUUUUUUCUGUAAUUGGAAUCUUUCUAUGAGAAGUUCGAUCCAGAUUUCAUCAACAUCAGGACAAAGGCCAGAGAGGUGUUGCAGAGGGAAGAUGAUCUUAGUGAAAUUGUCCAGCUUGUGGGAAAAGAUGCGCUAGCAGAAGGUGACAAGAUCACCUUGGAAACAGCCAAACUAUUGAGAGAAGACUACCUUGCUCAAAACGCGUUCACACCGUUAGAUUUUAAUGUCUCCCUUUGUUUCUUCAUUACGAAAAUUUCCGUUGCUUCCGAUAUCAUUCCAGAACCAUUUCUUCCAGAAGUGAUACUCAUCAAAGCUUCUUUACCGAAGCUUCCUCAAGAAAACCGCAGGAGUUACGAGGCCAUGGGUCUAGGCACUCAACAGUAUUUUUUUCUGGAAAGUGACGUCAAUUUAUAGGCAAGGGUGCAGAAGUGAAGUUCGCCGCAAGUUUGCUAAUGAGUGAUAUCGUUGCUCUCUUGAACAAUGAAGAAAAUCUUCAGUCAAUGAUGUUAAACUUACUUCUUAAGAGUUUCUGAGCUGAUACUUGCAAGAAAAGAUGGAACCAUUAGCGGAAAGAGUGGUCAACAGGCGUUUGCUCAGCAUUUGAGAUCCUCCACUUCGUCAAGUACCACGGCUUUGGAAACUAUUUCAUUCUGGUAGACAAUAGGGAUUCCUCAGAGCCUAAGAUUACUCAGGAGCAAGCUGUGAAGCUCUGUGAUCGAAACUUUGGUGUUGGUGCGGAGUCAUCUUUGCGAUGCCUGACGUUAAUGGCACUGAUUACACUAUGAGGAUAUUCAACUCAGAUGGUAGCGAACCAGAGUUUUACAAUACAUACUGGUGCUGGCCUCAUCAUUCCAGAGAUUCAAGGUGAUGGGCAGGUUAAGGUUGAUAUGAGGAAACCAAUACUUAGAGAAGAGGAUGUGCCUACGAGGUUGGAAGGGAACAAAGGCGAGUCUGUUGUUGCGGCGGAGCUAGCAGAGAUGAAGUGUACUGAUUAGUUGUCUAAUUGUCUAAUUGAAACACUUAACAAAGAUGAAGUGUACUGAUUAGCUGUUGCAACUGCAUUUUCACUCAUGAGCAAACUCUCUGGUUACUGAAGAAUUUUUUGAAUGAUAUAUUCCUCCCUGGAACUCAAGCCUCUUGCUACUCAUCAUUACAUGUAUCAGCCUACCAUUUCUUCUCCGAUUCAAACUAUUUUCACAAAUCAAAUUCUUUUGUAUAUUAUAAAUUAGCUUCUUUAUUGUUUUUGGCUGAGAAAUUUGAGUUCAUGUUUAUUUAUAAAGAUCUAUAAUAUUUGUUUUUUCUACG
Molecule: long non-coding RNA, 1746 nt
Organism: Brassica napus (rape)
Lineage: Eukaryota; Viridiplantae; Streptophyta; Magnoliopsida; Brassicales; Brassicaceae
Exons: 7
Source: RefSeq, a predicted model, not a curated record